Molecule: ribosomal RNA, 408 nt
Filed under: uncultured microorganism
Description: bacterial SSU rRNA
Rfam family: Archaeal small subunit ribosomal RNA
Source: RNAcentral
GCGCAGCAGUCGAGAAACUUUACAAUGUGCGAAAGCACGAUAAGGGAACUCUGAGUGCCUCCUAAGGAGGCUGUUCAGGUGUCUAAAAGCACCUGAAGGAAGGGCUGGGUAAGACCGGUGCCAGCCGCCGCGGUAACACCGGCAGCCCAAGUGGUAGCCACGUUUAUUGGGUCUAAAGCGUCCGUAGCCGGCUGGGUAAGUUCCUUGGGAAAUUUGGCUGCUUAACAGUCAAGCUUUCAGGGAAUACUGCCCGGCUUGGGACCGGGAGAGGUCAGAGGUACUCCAGGGGUAGGGGUGAAAUCCAUUAAUCCUUGGGGGACCACCGGUAGCGAAGGCGUCUGACCAGACCGGGUCCGACGGUGAGGGACGAAGGCUAGGGGCGCGAACCGGAUUAGAUACCCGCGUAGU